UGAAGUCGUAACAAGGUAGCCGUACCGGAAGGUGCGGCUGGAUCACCUCCUUUCUAAGGAGCAUCUGACUCUUCGGAGUCCAGAACCCAGAUCGAAGGCAUACGUUCUUCGCUGGGAGCUCAUGGGUGGAACAUUUGACAUGGUGCGAAGGAUGUUGUUCUUCUCCAGUACGCCGCUUCGGUGGUUGGAACGGGGAGGGUGACGGAUGUCGCACCUGCACGCUGUUGGGUCCUGAGGGACCGGAUGCGGAUCCUUUGGGAUCUGGUCUGAACCUCUGGGCCUCUUUCUGUUUCCCCCGUGUGGGGAAGUGGUAAGGGGCACCGCCCGUACUUUGAGAACUACACAGUGGACGCGAGCAUCUUGCAACAGCCUUCGGGUUGUUGCACAAGAUGAUCUUAAAGAUCAUUAGUCAAUUUCAGAUCCCGCCUUCGGGUGGGGUCGAGUUUUUGAUUCAAACUCAUGUGAUUUCAAGUCUUUAAGAGCAAACGGUGGAUGCCUUG
RNAcentral lists this unclassified non-coding RNA (500 nucleotides) under Microbacterium oxydans. RNAcentral's name for it is "partial contains 16S ribosomal RNA, 16S-23S ribosomal RNA intergenic spacer, and 23S ribosomal RNA". The stretch from base 1 to 53 matches the Rfam family "Bacterial small subunit ribosomal RNA", at positions 1481 to 1533 of the family's 1533-position model. The record is from RNAcentral. Lineage: Bacteria; Bacillati; Actinomycetota; Actinomycetes; Micrococcales; Microbacteriaceae.